AAAGACUAUUACUUGGUGUGCUUCACCCUUCAUCCCCUCAUUCAGUGCCCUGUGUGCCAUGCCAGUAUUUUUAUUGCUCAAAAUGCAAAAUGCAUUGGGUGCAGGGUCAUUUAGAAUCUCAUGUUGAGGAGUGAUAUUAGAAACCUGUUCUUAUAAUUAUAAACAAAACAAUAUUCUUUUCUAACUUGAAUGAUUUUUCUUUGACCCAAAUUUGCGAGAGAUUUUCACAUUAAAUCAAUUAUUU
Molecule: unclassified non-coding RNA, 244 nt
Filed under: Hevea brasiliensis (rubber tree)
Lineage: Eukaryota; Viridiplantae; Streptophyta; Magnoliopsida; Malpighiales; Euphorbiaceae
Source: RNAcentral